RNAcentral lists this ribosomal RNA (495 nucleotides) under uncultured bacterium. RNAcentral describes it as "partial 16S ribosomal RNA". It matches the Rfam family "Bacterial small subunit ribosomal RNA", at positions 28 to 507 of the family's 1533-position model. The record is from RNAcentral.
GACGAACGCUGGCGGCGUGCCUAAUACAUGCAAGUAGAACGCUGAAGGAGGAGCUUGCUUCUCCGGAUGAGUUGCGAACGGGUGAGUAACGCGUAGGUAACCUGCCUGGUAGCGGGGGAUAACUAUUGGAAACGAUAGCUAAUACCGCAUAAGAGUAGAUGUUGCAUGACAUUUGCUUAAAAGGUGCAAUUGCAUCACUACCAGAUGGACCUGCGUUGUAUUAGCUAGUUGGUGGGGUAACGGCUUACCAAGGCGACGAUACAUAGCCGACCGGAGAGGGGGAGCGGCCACGCUGGGACUGAGACACGGCCCAGACUCCUACGGGAGGCAGCAGUAGGGAAUCUUCGGCAAUGGACGGAAGUCUGACCGAGCAACGCCGCGUGAGUGAAGAAGGUUUUCGGAUCGUAAAGCUCUGUUGUAAGAGAAGAACGAGUGUGAGAGUGGAAAGUUCACACUGUGACGGUAUCUUACCAGAAAGGGACGGCUAACUACGUG